Long non-coding RNA from Cyprinus carpio carpio, 1007 nucleotides. The record is from Ensembl. NCBI's taxonomy places the organism in Eukaryota, Metazoa, Chordata, Actinopteri, Cypriniformes, Cyprinidae.
UUCAAACAAAACAUGUUAUGCAUUAUAAUUCCUUUAUUAUUUUUUGUGGAUGUUUUAAUUGUGUAUAUCUAUGCAAUGAUGAUAUUUGGUAUUAUCUCGCAGGUCUCCAAGGUGUCCGAAAGUCUUGCAUGCGGCUUUCAUAAAAGGAAACAUCUGCUUGUAAUAGUGGUCCUGCUCCAGCGAGGCUGAGGGGAGUUAGGCUGGCGGAGGUGACUGACAGCUUCCCUGGCCCUGUUGUGCCUGGCAGAUGUGGAGGUGUCACAGUAGUGAUGAAUUGUUUACACUCACCUGUCUGCCACGUCCUUCAGCGUCGAGGGGAUAGGCCUGGGCGACGGGAAAGGGGUGGCGGCACUGCCACAGGGUCAACGUUAUCUUCAGACACGUUUACAAAUUAGCACUUCUCACAGGCCUGGGACCUGCUUUAUGAAGCCGAGUUUUCGGAGCACCCUGAAAGUGUGAAAGAGUUCCAGAGGGCAGAGCAUUUGGAGAAGUCUAGAUAAUGAGAUUCUUUUGUUAAUGCCAUUGAACUCGAUUCAAUUAGUGAAAAGGGCCCAUGUUUGUGACUAUUGCAUGCGCAGCAUACAGUGUGUUUCUGUAUGUAAUUGACUUUGGAAGCCCUCGAGGAGCAAACUUUUAGUGCGUUCAAACAUUCAAUGUUAUCGUCAAGCACAAAAGGAGAGCCAAAUAUGUCUUUUUUCUGUUUCUGUUUUUUUUUUUGUUUUGUUUUUCUUGAGCCAGCCUUUUCGUGAGCUGGUUUGGGGCUGAUCUUGUGUGCACUUGUGUGAUGUAUAGAUUAAUUAAAUAAGCAUAUUGAUUCCUGUUCUGGCAACACAGAGUGUGGGGUUUUAAUUAGCCCACGCUUGAGUGUGUUAAAAUCCCUGUCUUAUCUGUGUGGAACCAAGUGGAACUGAAUGCAUGAGGGCUGCUCAUCAACUCAAAAUCUCCAAUAACCUCCAAUUUCUUUUUUUCUUGUUUGUUUUAGUCCAACCCAAAUCACAAUCUUUAUC